CCUACGGGAGGGCAGCAGUGGGGAAUCUUGCGCAAUGGGCGAAAGCCUGACGCAGCAACGCCGCGUGCGGGAUGAAGGCCUUCGGGCUGUAAACCGCUUUCAGCAGGAACGAAAAUGACGGUACCUGCAGAAGAAGGAGCGGCCAACUACGUGCCAGCAGCCGCGGUGACACGUAGGCUCCAAGCGUUGUCCGGAUUUAUUGGGCGUAAAGAGCUCGUAGGCGGUCUAAUAAGUCGGGUGUGAAAACUCUGGGCUCAACCCGGAGACGCCAUCCGAUACUGUUAUGACUUGAGUUCAGGAGGGGAGCGGGGGAAUUCCUAGUGUAGCGGUGAAAUGCGCAGAUAUUAGGAGGAACACCGGUGGCGAAGGCGCCGCUCUGGACUGAAACUGACGCUGAGGAGCGAAAGCAUGGGUAGCAAACAGGAUUAGAUACCCUGGUAGUCCGUGCCGUAAACGGUGGGCACUAGGUGUGGGUUUACAACUAACGAAAUCCGNGCCGUGCUAACGCAUAAGUGCCCGCUGGGAGUCGGUCGCAAGACUAAAACUCAAACGAUUAGACGG
RNAcentral lists this ribosomal RNA (561 nucleotides) under uncultured bacterium. RNAcentral's name for it is "bacterial SSU rRNA". It matches the Rfam family "Bacterial small subunit ribosomal RNA", at positions 338 to 916 of the family's 1533-position model. The record is from RNAcentral.